Chelonia mydas (Green sea turtle) is the source of this 3385-nucleotide long non-coding RNA. RefSeq lists it as uncharacterized. Lineage: Eukaryota; Metazoa; Chordata; Testudines; Cheloniidae. The record is from RefSeq and is a predicted model, not a curated record. The transcript is spliced from 4 exons.
AGAAACAGCGGCGUAGGGCCAGAGUGUUCGAUUUUUGCUACCAUAGAAAGCAGGGACUGGUGGGCCAGAGCGUCCCAUUGCAACCAUAGAGAUCGUAGGACUUAUGCCAUAGAGGGGGUUGUGCGUCUGGCAGGGCCAGACGGUUCGCUCCCGCACGGCAGAGAGGGUGUGUGGCUGGGCCAGACCACCCUAUCCCUCACUAUAGGGGAGGGGUGCGUGGGUGGGCGGGCCAGGCCUCCCAGCAUAAAGAGGGAUGGUGUGGGGCUCGGACGGGCCAGACACCUGCUCCCCUACCAUAGAGAGGGGUGGAGCUGUUUUGUGGCUAGGUCAGUGUACCAUCUCUGGGGUUUUCAGUCUGGUCCCCACUGGGGCAGGCACCCAAGUCCCCAAACGUGCUGUCCCCCUCAGAGAGCAGUCGGAGGGAAGCACGUUGGCAGGGGGUGAUGUAAGCUUUCCCUGCCCAAGCAGCCCCAUCUGGAGAGGCACAGAGGAGUCAGUCCCUUGUGGUGUAGAUGGAGUGUAUUUGUGCAGGUCUCACUCUGCCCAGGCUGCUCCCAUGCUCAGUACCUACAGAGGCCUUAGUUCCUCUGUAGUUAGUUCCACUGACCCUUCCCCCUGCGACUGGGCCUCCCCAGUCCAGUCUUCCCUCAGACAACACCUAAACCCACUGCAUCAGGGCUCUGCUGACCCCGUUCUGCAUUAGUCUUGGGCGGUGCACUAGGGAGACACAAAUGAACUAAAUGGAUUUCAUCUGAUCAAUCCCAGGGCUUUACCUGGCCAGGGAACCUUCAGUCCUGAAGGCAGCUCUGUUGUGGUCUCUCUCCACCAGGUGGGGGGAAGGGGUGGGGAUUUGUGCGGUGGUCCUCACUGGGAAGCACUGGGACCUGUAAGUGGGAGCAGGGGGCACCCAGCCUUCUCUCCCCAUCCCUCAGUGGGCAAAUCAUUGGGUCUGAGGCCCCCCAUCUUGUGGUCUUUAAUGAUAGAGAACCAUCUGGGAAGGGGGAUGGGUAUUUCUCCCACAGCCCAUGAUGCUGUGAAUGUGCCCCAUAGUGACCUCUCUAAUCUGCCUGGGGCUCAUCACCCCAAUCCCAUUAAGGCCCCUUUAAACUUUAGGAGUCAUGUAAUCAGGCUGGCUUAGACCUGGGCAUGACAGGGAAAUGGGAUCAUGGUGGGGCCUGGUAACUGGACAAAUCUUGAGGUGGGGCCUUCCCAAUCUUAGGGGCUCUGGGGCCCCUGUUCACUGCUCCAUGGCUGCCAAAUUAAUCCAGUCCUGCCCUGACCCCGUUCAUGGUGAAAGCCAGCCUGUGUCAGUAGCAUCUGCUGACUCAAUCUCCCACCCAUGGCUGGAGCAGCCCCAGGGAUCCAGCGGCCUUGCCCCUUAGCUAGGGUGUGCAAGCUUCAUGCCAGAGGCUGAGAUCUGGGUCCCCUACCUGACCUUUAAAGAGCUCCUCUGCUCCCCCACCUCCAGGGCAGCCAGUUGGCUCCUUGGGCAGUUCCCAUGAGCUCAUUGGGUGAUUAACUGAAGCCCUGAUUCCAAUCCUCCCCUCGUAAUUAUCCAUGUCCUGGGACAACUCCCGGCCAGGGCAGCAGCUGCCCCUGCCCUGAUCGGUCUGGGCUCCCACCUUAGUCUGUAGGUGCAGGGGUUGGGAACAUCUCCCUGGAGCAGGCAGCCCUCAUAGUGUGGGGCCCAGGGCUGGGAGUGCAGUCCAGGGAGGAGAGGAGAGCACUCUCCCUGGGGUGGAGAUUACUGAAUGCAGGGGGGAUCCAAGGGUUGGGAGUACAGGGGGGCUUGGCAGGGGUGCUCUAGCCAGAUUGGGGGGCACUGACAAUGCAGAAGGUCCUAGCAGGGAGCACUGAAUAGGGGAAUCCAGCCGCCCCCCUCCCCGGCACCAUAGAGCUGUUGUGCCCAGGGGAUUAGCCUGGUGUCAGGACAAAGCGCUUAUGGUGCCUGGAGCAUCUGUCAGCUCCCUGCCCUGGGGGCUGCUGGGCCCUGUAAUCCCUGCACAUCCUGGGAUGGCCCAGGGCAGCGCCUGAUGCAUCGCUAUGGCUGAGGGGACUCUGGAUUGUGGUGGUGCCGCAUCCCAGGCAGUGCUGACCCCUGGUGAGGCUUGCAACCCCAUCCAGCUACCUGUGGCGACCCCAGGGCAGAACAGCCUGGCCUGGCUCCAUAGCACUGACAAGGAGGUGCAGUGGCUAUCAGAAGUGGGAAGGAGCCCUAUCCAGACAGAGCCUCCUGCACAGAGCCAGGUCUCUGGGCAGCUAAGCUCCCCCAGCGCGCAAACUAACCCCCUUAUCCUCUGUGCCUCGUUCUUCCUGGAGCCAUGUGAGAUGAGCAAAGACGCCCCUAGGGAGCCGUGUGAGGGGUUGUGCAAAGGUCCCCCUGAGGAGCUGUCUGAGGUGAUGUACAAGGAUCCCCUCAGGGAGACGUGUGAGGUGGUGUGCGUGGAGCUGUGUGAGGACACUCCUCCCUGGGAGCUGUGCAGGGAUCCCCCCAUGGAGCCAUGUGAAGGGCUGUGCAAGGAAAUGUGCAAAGAUCCUCCCCCCAGGAAGCCAUGCGAGGGCCCCCUUGAAAGCCCAGUGCAGGGGAAGGCCCAGCUGCCGUCCAUCGCCACCCACAGAGGCGGGAGAGGUGGAGAGCGGGGAGCUGCGCUGGCCCCCAGAUGACUUCCUGCUGCUGGAGGGCGAGGACGAGCUCUUCACUGAUGGAGAGGAGGCCCCCCGCACUGGAAAGCACCCUGGAUGAAGUGCUGCUGUGAAGCUGCCGGGGACAGAGGGGACCCCACUCUCUCCCUGUCUGGCCUCAGACCCCACUAGAGACCCAGCUGUAGCCUUGUGGGGGGCCGUAGCUCAGGGACUGAGGACACCCUCCCCAGGAGCUGGACAGCAGCAGGAGGGGAUGGGCCCCCUGCCACCAGGACCUUAGGGGGCAGAAUAAGACCAGCCUGGGGCAUCUUCCGUGCCGGAUCCAGUGCACCCCGUCUGUGAGCAAGAGUCAGCGUGACUUUGAUCUGGGACAGCAGCACCAUGGGGCAUGCACUGCCCCCCCCACCUCCCGCAGCUGGGGGGCCAGCUGCCUGCAGGGUUUGUGCCAGUGGGUACAAGCUGCCCACUCCUCCCCUGCUGAGCUCAGCAAUAAAAGGUUCCUGUCCUAGCUGUGGUGUCUCACUGUGAAGUGGCUGGCGAGGCCCUGGGAACAGGUGCAGUGCCUCAGUGGGGCCAGCUCCCGGGGGCUGCAAGCUCCACACUCUCUGAGCCCCAGGGAGUGGCUGAGCUGGGGGGAGGGAGGCAGCAAUACCUGAGCACCUGCAUCUGAGGUGUAGGGCCCCCAGCUGAUGCAGUAGGAGGGGGCUGCUGUUCAAGGGCGGAGUUGCCCACAAUGGGGGUG